Molecule: ribosomal RNA, 465 nt
Filed under: uncultured bacterium
Lineage: Bacteria
Description: partial 16S ribosomal RNA
Rfam family: Bacterial small subunit ribosomal RNA
Source: RNAcentral
CCUACGGGUGACAGCAGUGGGGAAUAUUGCGCAAUGGGCGAAAGCCUGACGCAGUGACGCCGCGUGCGGGAUGAAGGUCUUCGGAUCGUAAACCUCUUUCAGCAGGGAAGAACGGUCACUGUGCUAAUCAGCAGUGCAUUGACGGUACCUGCAAAGGAAGCACCGGCUAACUCCGUGCCAGCAGCCGCGGUAAUACGGAGGGUGCGAGCGUUAAUCGGAAUUACUGGGCGUAAAGCGCUCGUAGGCGGUAUGUCAAGUCAAGGGUGAAAUCCCCGCGCUCAACGUGGGAACUGCCUUUGAAACUGGCAAACUGGAGUGUGUGAGAGGAUAGUGGAAUUCGAGGUGUAGGAGUGAAAUCCGUAGAUAUCUGGAGGAACAUCAGUGGCGAAGGCGACUAUCUGGCACAUAACUGACGCUGAGGAGCGAAAGCGUGGGUAGCAAACAGGAUUAGAUACCCUUGUAGUC